Molecule: ribosomal RNA, 392 nt
Filed under: uncultured bacterium
Lineage: Bacteria
Description: partial 16S ribosomal RNA
Rfam family: Bacterial small subunit ribosomal RNA
Source: RNAcentral
AUACGGAGGAUGCGAGCGUUAUCCGGAUUUAUUGGGUUUAAAGGGAGCGCGGACGGGUGAUUAAGUCAGCUGUUAAAUAUCGGGGCCCAACCCCGUUAUGCGGUUGAUACUGGUUAUCUUGAGUGCGGCAUGGGCAGGCGGAAUUCACGGUGUAGCGGUGAAAUGCUUAGAUAUCGUGAAGAACUCCGAUCGCGAAGGCAGAUUGCCGGACCGUGACUGACGUUUAGGCUCGAAAGUGCGGGUAUCAAACAGGAUUAGAUACCCUGGUAGUCCGCACAGUAAACGAUGGACACUCGCUGUCGGCGACAGACAGUCGGCGGCCUAGCGAAAGCGUUAAGUGUCCCACCUGGGGAGUACGCCGGCAACGGUGAAACUCAAAUGAAUUGGCGGGG